ACGCUGGCGGCGUGCUAAUACAUGCAAGUCGAACGAAACUUUCUUACACCGAAUGCUUGCAUUCACCGUAAGAAGUUGAGUGGCGGACGGGUGAGUAACACGUGGGUAACCUGCCUAAAAGAAGGGGAUAACACUUGGAAACAGGUGCUAAUACCGUAUAUCUCUAAGGAUCGCAUGAUCCUUAGAUGAAAGAUGGUUCUGCUAUCGCUUUUAGAUGGACCCGCGGCGUAUUAACUAGUUGGUGGGGUAACGGCCUACCAAGGUGAUGAUACGUAGCCGAACUGAGAGGUUGAUCGGCCACAUUGGGACUGAGACACGGCCCAAACUCCUACGGGAGGCAGCAGUAGGGAAUCUUCCACAAUGGACGCAAGUCUGAUGGAGCAACGCCGCGUGAGUGAAGAAGGUCUUCGGAUCGUAAAACUCUGUUGUUAGAGAAGAACACGAGUGAGAGUAACUGUUCAUUCGAUGACGGUAUCUAACCAGCAAGUCACGGCUAACUACGUGCCAGCAGCCGCGGUAAUACGUAGGUGGCAAGCGUUGUCCGGAUUUAUUGGGCGUAAAGGGAACGCAGGCGGUCUUUUAAGUCUGAUGUGAAAGCCUUCGGCUUAACCGGAGUAGUGCAUUGGAAACUGGAAGACUUGAGUGCAGAAGAGGAGAGUGGAACUCCAUGUGUAGCGGUGAAAUGCGUAGAUAUAUGGAAGAACACCAGUGGCGAAAGCGGCUCUCUGGUCUGUAACUGACGCUGAGGUCGAAAGCGUGGGUAGCAACAGAUA
Molecule: ribosomal RNA, 773 nt
Filed under: Ligilactobacillus salivarius
Lineage: Bacteria; Bacillati; Bacillota; Bacilli; Lactobacillales; Lactobacillaceae
Description: bacterial SSU rRNA
Rfam family: Bacterial small subunit ribosomal RNA
Source: RNAcentral